RNAcentral lists this ribosomal RNA (20 nucleotides) under Plagiomnium ciliare. RNAcentral's name for it is "partial 28S ribosomal RNA". The record is from RNAcentral. Lineage: Eukaryota; Viridiplantae; Streptophyta; Bryopsida; Bryales; Mniaceae.
GGAAAAGACCACCCGCUGAG